This 253-nucleotide ribosomal RNA is filed under the name uncultured bacterium. Its description in RNAcentral is "partial 16S ribosomal RNA". It matches the Rfam family "Bacterial small subunit ribosomal RNA", at positions 524 to 776 of the family's 1533-position model. The record is from RNAcentral.
UACGAAGGGUGCAAACGUUGCCCGGAAUUAUUGGGCGUAAAGCGCACGUAGGCGGCUUUGCAAGUCCCAUGUGAAAUCCCACGGCUCAACCGUGGAAGUGCAUGGGAAACUGCAGAGCUUGAGUACUUAGGAGGAUCGCGGAAUUCCCGGUGUAGAGGUGAAAUGCGUAGAUAUCGAGAGGAACACCUGCGGCGAAGGCGGGUUGCUGGGCUGACACUGACGCUGAGGCGCGAAAGCCAGGGGAGCGAACGGG